This is a small nucleolar RNA of Cavia aperea (Brazilian guinea pig), 124 nucleotides long. Lineage: Eukaryota; Metazoa; Chordata; Mammalia; Rodentia; Caviidae. The record is from Ensembl.
CUUGCUUGUGUGUUUUUGUCUUAAUUUGUGGAUUAAAACUUAACGGACAGGAACAAUAAACCCUCUCAUACAAUCCAAAAUUCAUUGUUUGAUAUGAGUUUUGAUGCAUAUAAGAAGGAAUAUU